Molecule: long non-coding RNA, 577 nt
Filed under: Monodelphis domestica (gray short-tailed opossum)
Lineage: Eukaryota; Metazoa; Chordata; Mammalia; Didelphimorphia; Didelphidae
Description: lncRNA (ENSMODG00000040121.1)
Source: RNAcentral
CUCACAUUUCUGGGUGGGAGCACAAACUCACAAGAAUAUGGCACCCUAUGAGGUCCGAUGAUGAUGACUCUGAUGAAAGAUAAGAGGGAGGAGAGAUCAGUCCUAAGAUUCAAGAUGGAGCUCACUUGGACUGAUGGGGAAAGUUCCAAACUGUUGAAGACACAGUUCCCCAACAGACAGUCUGGAUCUGGGAAGUGAAGCCUGAAGGGUGCAGAUUUGAUCUCUCCUGGACUCUCCUGGUCAUCUUGGAAGCAGCCUCUUUGAACACCAUCAAGCAAGAGUGAUCAGGAUUUUCCCUGAUACCUGCAGGUGGACAGAGAGGAAAAUUCUCUUUUAGACAUCUGAGGACUCAGCUGGAUUCCUGUACCUGACUCAUCAAAAGACUCUCUGAGUGUGAGAAAUCUGGUUACCUGUUGGACUUGCCUUUAGGAAUUUAUGUAAUUAGUUAAGGUAGUUAAAUAGUGGGUUUAAUUAAUUAGAGGGUAAAGCAGUCAGAUUUUCCUUCUCCCAUUUUCCUUUCUCCCUUCAUCCCUUCUCUGUUAAUAAAUUCAAUAUUAUUUAUAUGUGCUGUUUUCCC